UACGUAGGGCGCAAGCGUUGUCCGGAAUUAUUGGGCGUAAAGAGCUCGUAGGCGGCUUGUCACGUCGAUUGUGAAAGCCCGAGGCUUAACCUCGGGUCUGCAGUCGAUACGGGCUAGCUAGAGUGUGGUAGGGGAGAUCGGAAUUCCUGGUGUAGCGGUGAAAUGCGCAGAUAUCAGGAGGAACACCGGUGGCGAAGGCGGAUCUCUGGGCCGAUACUGACGCUGAGGGGCGAAAAGCGUGGGGAGCGAACAGGA
RNAcentral lists this ribosomal RNA (255 nucleotides) under uncultured bacterium. Its description in RNAcentral is "partial 16S ribosomal RNA". It matches the Rfam family "Bacterial small subunit ribosomal RNA", at positions 524 to 777 of the family's 1533-position model. The record is from RNAcentral.